UGGGGAAUUUUGGACAAUGGGGGAAACCCUGAUCCAGCCAUCCCGCGUGUGCGAUGAAGGCCUUCGGGUUGUAAAGCACUUUUGGCAGGAAAGAAACGUCAUGGGUUAAUACCCCGUGAAACUGACGGUACCUGCAGAAUAAGCACCGGCUAACUACGUGCCAGCAGCCGCGGUAAUACGUAGGGUGCAAGCGUUAAUCGGAAUUACUGGGCGUAAAGCGUGCGCAGGCAGUUCGGAAAGAAAGAUGUGAAAUCCCAGAGCUCAACUUUGGAACUGCAUUUUUAACUACCGGGCUAGAGUGUGUCAGAGGGAGGUGGAAUUCCGCGUGUAGCAGUGAAAUGCGUAGAUAUGCGGAGGAACACCGAUGGCGAAGGCAGCCUCCUGGGAUAACACUGACGCUCAUGCACGAAAGCGUGGGGAGCAAACAGG
This 429-nucleotide ribosomal RNA is filed under the name Acidobacteriota bacterium. Its description in RNAcentral is "Acidobacteria bacterium partial 16S ribosomal RNA". It matches the Rfam family "Bacterial small subunit ribosomal RNA", at positions 355 to 776 of the family's 1533-position model. The record is from RNAcentral. Lineage: Bacteria; Pseudomonadati; Acidobacteriota.